GAUUAACGCUAGAGGCAGGCAUAAUACAUGCAAGUUGAACGGCAGCACAGGUAGCAAUACUGGGUGGCGAGUGGCGCACGGGUGCGUAACACGUAUGCAACCUACCCUAUACAGGCGAAUAACCUUUAGAAAUGAGGGCUAAUACGCCGUAGUAUUACAGAUGGGCAUCUAUUUGUAAUUAAAGAUUUAUCGGUAUAGGAUGGGCAUGCGUCCCAUUAGUUAGUUGGUAAGGUAACGGCUUACCAAGACGAUGAUGGGUAGGGGAUCUGAUAGGACUUACCCCCACACUGGUACUGAGACACGGACCAGACUCCUACGGGAGGCAGCAGUAAGGAAUAUUGGGCAAUGGCCGCGAGGCUGACCCAGCCAUGCCGCGUGCAGGAAGACGGCCUUAUGGGUUGUAAACUACUUUUAUACGGGAAUAAUAGAGUGUACGCGUACAUUUAUGCAAGUAUCGUAUGAAUAAGCAUCGGCUAACUCCGUG
This 484-nucleotide ribosomal RNA is filed under the name uncultured bacterium. RNAcentral describes it as "partial 16S ribosomal RNA". It matches the Rfam family "Bacterial small subunit ribosomal RNA", at positions 28 to 507 of the family's 1533-position model. The record is from RNAcentral.